RNAcentral lists this long non-coding RNA (627 nucleotides) under Vulpes vulpes (red fox). RNAcentral describes it as "lncRNA (ENSVVUG00000006633.1)". Lineage: Eukaryota; Metazoa; Chordata; Mammalia; Carnivora; Canidae. The record is from RNAcentral.
GUUAAAAUAUAAGCAGUUGCUUUCUCUUUCAAAGUCUCAGUUUCCAUAUUUGUCAAAUGUGAGUAAUAAUAUUCUUAUAAGACAGUGGUAGAGACUAGAUAAGAUAAUGUGUUAUGUAUAGUAAAUGCCAAAAAAGUAGCUAUUAUAUAUUUAUUUCUUAGAAUUCCUGGCUUCCUCUUCUGCCUGCUUAGGAGUCUAUGAGUGGGCCCAAACAGAAAUGUUUGCAGAGGAAAACUCGGGACUGUUUGUGAUUGAUGAGAAGUAGGCAACUACUGAAUACUCCUUCAGGAGUUUCUGAAGACCUCCAUGCCCCUUGUGCCCUGCCACUCCUCCUAUUUCCUCCAUGAGAUCGCACAGAGUUCACCUAAAGCCAGGUUUUCAGAUUUUGAACUGUAAAGGAGACCUUGGGCCGCCAGUUCCUGUAAUUUUAAUCCCUUCACGAGCAGGGUCUUGAGGAUCAGCUGCAUCACUGCUGUUCUGCUUGCUGCUGUUUAACUCCACACAGAAUCAGAAUUGGAAAAGAUCUGGGAAACAUGGAAUCCAGUGGCUUCCAAAGUGUUCUCCUUUGGGAAGGAUGAUGUCCCAUGGGAGAUGCCUCAGUGGUUUCUGAGAGAGGGACCAAAGGUC